GAUGAAGAACGUAGCGAAAUGCGAUACUUGGUGUGAAUUGCAGAAUCCCGUGAACCAUCGAGUCUUUGAACGCAAGUUGCGCCCGAAGCCACUAGGCCGAGGGCACGCCUGCCUGGGCGUCACACGUCGUUGCCCCCCCAUCUACUCCUUCGGGAUUGCGGGGGGGCGGAUGAUGGCCUCCCGUGCGCCUAGCCGCGCGGUUGGCAUAAAUACCAAGUCCUCGGCGACGCACGCCACGACAAUCGGGGGUUGCGAAACCUCGGUUGCCCGUCGUGUGCGUUCGUCGCGCAUCGAGGGCUCGAAAAAAUGCUCGGCUCCGGCUGGGCUUUCAACGCGACCCCAGGUCAGGCGGGGUUACCCGCUGAAUUUAAGCAUAUCAAUAAGCGGAGGA
RNAcentral lists this unclassified non-coding RNA (391 nucleotides) under soil metagenome. RNAcentral describes it as "partial contains 5.8S ribosomal RNA, internal transcribed spacer 2, and large subunit ribosomal RNA". The stretch from base 1 to 122 matches the Rfam family "5.8S ribosomal RNA", at positions 35 to 154 of the family's 154-position model. The record is from RNAcentral.